AACAAAACAAAAAAAAAGUUGUAAAAAAGAAAUAGCAAAACCCCAGAAAGGCAAAACCCUUCGUAUCGCCACGAUGUCCGCCGCCAGGUGUUUGUUGCGCUCCGCCGCAUCCCGAGCCGCCGGGGCGGCGAAUCUGGCAGCCGGAGCUAGGCCGAGACCGGCGCGAUCUCCGUUUCGCCUCCCAAAGCAAACCUCAAUCUCCAAUCGCGUUUUCAGGCUACCGGUAGAAGCGAGUUGCUGCGUGGAAUCUUUGCUUCCUUAUCACAGUGCUACUGCUUCCGCAUUGCUGAAUUCGAUGCUCUCUGUGUCUCGCCACUCCUACGGUUGGACUCCUGAAGAUUGCAAUGAUGAUGUAUGAUGAAUGACAGAGGGUUCGAGCAAGGUUUUAUGUAGAUGCGCUUGAACAAAGGGUCGUGAUCAUUUGCUCUUUGGCUUUAGGCUUGAGGACUAGCCAUAUGGAUGAUUGCUGUUUGUGGGUGCGGUGCAUCUGCGCAUACUUUCCAUGGAUUUCCGUUUACUUUGUUAGUUCUGCUUAGAGAUUUUUCUCCAUGGUUCAUUAUGAAAACUCCCGAGACUUAAAUUGUGCAAGCAUCCAGAGCUGGUACCAUGCUUAGGUAUGACUAUUUUAUUUGAAACAUAAUUGCAACAUUUUUUUUUAACUCGAUUAACAAUGAUUUGUAUCACCCUCUUGUUGAAAAUGGUUUUACUUCAAGUGUUAGCAAACGUUACCCUGAUUUUCAAUGUUAAACGAGCAAGUUUUGGAACAA
Cajanus cajan (pigeon pea) is the source of this 767-nucleotide RNA transcript. It is a transcript of the gene named protein NUCLEAR FUSION DEFECTIVE 6, mitochondrial, with no coding region annotated. Lineage: Eukaryota; Viridiplantae; Streptophyta; Magnoliopsida; Fabales; Fabaceae. The record is from RefSeq and is a predicted model, not a curated record.